This 497-nucleotide ribosomal RNA is filed under the name uncultured bacterium. Its description in RNAcentral is "partial 16S ribosomal RNA". It matches the Rfam family "Bacterial small subunit ribosomal RNA", at positions 28 to 507 of the family's 1533-position model. The record is from RNAcentral.
GAUGAACGCUGGCGGCGUGCCUAAUACAUGCAAGUCGAGCGAACAGACGAGGAGCUUGCUCCUCUGACGUUAGCGGCGGACGGGUGAGUAACACGUGGAUAACCUACCUAUAAGACUGGGAUAACUUCGGGAAACCGGCGCUAAUACCGGAUAAUAUAUUGAACCGCAUGGUUCAAUAGUGAAAGACGGUUUUGCUGUCACUUAUAGAUGGAUACGCGCCGGAUUAGCUAGUUGGUAAGGUCACGGCUUACCAAGGCGACGAUGCGUAGCCGACCUGAGAGGGUGAUCGGCCACACUGGAACGGAGACACGGUCCAGACGCCUACGGGAGGCAGCAGUAGGGAAUCGUCCGCAAUGGGCGAAAGCCUGACGGAGCAACGCCGCGUGAGUGAUGAAGGUCUUCGGAUCGUAAAACUCUGUUAUGAGGGAAGAACAAAUGUGUAAGUAACUAUGCACGUCUUGACGGUACCUAAUCAGAAAGCCACGGCUAACUACGUG